RNAcentral lists this ribosomal RNA (1484 nucleotides) under uncultured Bordetella sp. Its description in RNAcentral is "partial 16S-23S ribosomal RNA intergenic spacer". It matches the Rfam family "Bacterial small subunit ribosomal RNA". The record is from RNAcentral. Lineage: Bacteria; Pseudomonadati; Pseudomonadota; Betaproteobacteria; Burkholderiales; Alcaligenaceae.
GGUUUGAUCAUGGCUCAGAUUGAACGCUGGCGGGAUAAGCUACGUUUACGCAAGUCGAACGGCAGCACGGACUUCGGUCUGGUGGCGAGGGCGAACGGGUGAGUAAUGUAUCGGAACGUGCCUCUAGUAGCGAUAACUACGAAAGCAGUAGCCAAUACCGCAUACGUCUUUCGGGGGAAAGCGGGGGGACCUUCGGGCCUCGCACUAUUAGGAGCCGGCCGAUACUGAAUUAGCUAGUUGGUGGGGUAACGGCUCACCAAGGCGACGAUCCGUAGCUGGUCGGAGAGGACGACCAGCCACACUGGGACUGAGACACGGCCCAGACUCCUACGGGAGCAAGUGGGGAAUUUUGGACAAUGGGGAAACCUGAUCCAGCCAUCCCCGCGUGUGCGAUGAAGGCCUUCGGGUUGUAAAAGCACUUGGCAGGAAGAAACGGCACGGGAUAAUACCCCGUGCAACUGACGGUACCUGCAGAAUAAGCACCGGCUAACUGAUGCGCCAGCAGCCGCGGUAAUACGUAGGGUGCAAGCGUUAAUCGGAAUUACUGGGCGUAAAGCGUGCGCAGGCGGUUCGAAAGAAAGAUGUGAAAUCCCAGAGCUUAACUUUGAACUGCAUUUUUAACUUACCGAGCUAGAGUGUGUCAGAGGAGGUGGAAUUCCGCGGUAGCAGGAAAUGCAGAUAUGCGGAGGAACACUGAUGGCGAAGGCAGCCUCCUGGGAUAACACUGACGCUCAUGCACGAAAAGCGUGGGGAGCAAACAGGAUUAGAUACCCCUGGUAGUCCACGCCCUAAACGAUGUCAACUAGGGCUGUUGGGGCCUUCGGGCUCUCGGUAGCGCAGCCAAUUACAGAAGCUGAAUCGCCUGGGGAGUACGGUCGCAAGAUUAAAACCCAGCGAAUUGACGGGGACCGCACAAGCGGUGGAUGAUGUGGAUUAAUUCGAUGCAACGCGAAAAACUCACCUACCUUGACAUGUUCGAAUCCCGAAGAGAUUUGGGAGUGCCUGCAAGAGAACCGGAACACAGGUGCUGUAUGGCUGUCGUCAGCUCGCCGUGAGAUGUUGGGUUAAGUCCCGCAACGAGCGCCGGUCCCUUGUUGUUAGUUAUUGUUUUAAAGCAGCACUGACGCAGACCUGCCAGUGACGUCCGGAGGAAGGUGGGAUAUCGCCGAAGCCUCAGCAGCCCCAGCGGGGGAGAGCCACACGUCACACAAUGAAGUCGGGAUGAAGAGGGCUGCCAACCCGCGAGGGGGAGCCAAUCCCAGAAACCUGAUCGUAGUCCGGAUCGCAGUCUGCAAACUCGACUGCGUGAAGCCGGAAUCGCUAGUAAUCGCGGAUCAGCAUGUCGCGGUGAAUACGUUCCCGGGUCUGUACACACCGCCCGGUCACACCAUGGGAGUGGGUUUUACCAGAAGUAGCUAGCCUAACCGUAAGGAGGGCGAUUACCACGGUAGGAUUCAUGACUGGGGUGAAGUCGUAACAAGGUA